Molecule: transfer RNA, 88 nt
Filed under: Micromonosporaceae bacterium
Lineage: Bacteria; Bacillati; Actinomycetota; Actinomycetes; Micromonosporales; Micromonosporaceae
Description: tRNA-Ser
Rfam family: tRNA
About the family: Transfer RNA (tRNA) molecules are approximately 80 nucleotides in length. Their secondary structure includes four short double-helical elements and three loops (D, anti-codon, and T loops).
Source: RNAcentral
GGAGAGGUGGCCGAGUGGUCUAUGGCGCUGCUUUGCUAAAGCAGAACGGCUCUGUCCGUCCCGGGUUCGAAUCCCGGCUUCUCCGCCA